RNAcentral lists this ribosomal RNA (354 nucleotides) under uncultured bacterium. RNAcentral's name for it is "bacterial SSU rRNA". It matches the Rfam family "Bacterial small subunit ribosomal RNA", at positions 29 to 409 of the family's 1533-position model. The record is from RNAcentral.
AACGAACGCUGGCGGCAUGCCUAACACAUGCAAGUCGAACGAGACCUUCGGGUCUAGUGGCGCACGGGUGCGUAACGCGUGGGAAUCUGCCCCUUGGUUCGGAAUAACUUCGGGAAACUGAAGCUAAUACCGGAUAAUGACGUAAGUCCAAAGAUUUAUCGCCAAGGGAUGAGCCCGCGUAGGAUUAGCUAGUUGGUGGGGUAAAGGCUCACCAAGGCGACGAUCCUUAGCUAGGUCUGAGAGGAUGAUCAGCCACACUGGGACUGAGACACGGCCCAGACUCCUACGGGAGGCAGCAGUGGGGAAUAUUGGACAAUGGGCGAAAGCCUGAUCCAGCAAUGCCGCGUGAGUGAU